Molecule: non-coding RNA, 326 nt
Organism: Erinaceus europaeus (western European hedgehog)
Lineage: Eukaryota; Metazoa; Chordata; Mammalia; Eulipotyphla; Erinaceidae
Source: Rfam
GAAUGUGAGGGUGAUCUGGCUGUGACAUCUUUCACCCCACAGAUCACCAGGCUUGAUUUAGCUGAUCUGGCUGGCUAGGCGGGUUUCCCUUUCCUCCCUCACCACUCUAUGUGCAUCCCUCCUGAAGCUGUGUGCUCAGUCAGGGAGGAUGGCCUUCCUCCAACAGAGAUGACUGGUCUUUGGUUGAGGGUAUAAGAGUGGCUGCAUUCCCCUGUUAGAACCUCCAAACAAGCUCUUGAGGUCCAAAAGUUAUUUCCAGAAAUUUAUUGGAAAAAAAUAAUCAAAGGAUCCAGGUGGUGGCAUACAUAGUUAAGUGCACAUAUUAU